UAUGUGUUCAUUAUGUUCAGUGGU
This 24-nucleotide non-coding RNA is filed under the name Arabidopsis thaliana (thale cress). Lineage: Eukaryota; Viridiplantae; Streptophyta; Magnoliopsida; Brassicales; Brassicaceae. The record is from RNAcentral.